This 258-nucleotide ribosomal RNA is filed under the name uncultured bacterium. RNAcentral describes it as "partial 16S ribosomal RNA". It matches the Rfam family "Bacterial small subunit ribosomal RNA", at positions 526 to 779 of the family's 1533-position model. The record is from RNAcentral.
CGAAGGGGGCUAGCGUUGCUCGGAAUUACUGGGCGUAAAGGGCGCGUAGGCGGUCAUUUUAGUCAGGCGUGAAAUUCCCCGGGGCUUAACCUGGGGGACUGCGCUUGAUACUGGGGUGACUAGAGGGUGGAAGAGGGUCGUGGAAUUCCCAGUGUAGAGGUGAAAUUCGUAGAUAUUGGGAAGAACACCGGUGGCGAAGGCGGCGACCUGGUCCAUUACUGACGCUGAGGCGCGACAGCGUGGGGAGCAAACAGGAUU